UUGACGGGGACCCGCACAAGCAGCGGAGCGUGUGGUUUAAUUCGUUGCUACACGAAGAACCUUACCUGGGUUUGACAUAUAGGUUGUAGGGAACUGAAAAGGGACCGACCCUUCGGGGAGCCUAUACAGGUUGUUGCAUGGCUGUCGUCAGCUCGUGUCGUGAGAUGUUCGGUUAAGUCCGCUAACGAGCGCAACCCUCGUCGUAUGUUAUAUGUGUCAUACGAGACUGCCGGUAAAAGCCGGAGGAAGGUGAGGAUGAUGUCAAGUCAGCAUGACCUUUAUAUCCAGGGCUACACACACGCUACAAUGGUCUGUACAAUGGGUAGCCAAGCCGCGAGGCGGAGCCAAUCCUGAAAGCAGGCCUCAGUUCAGAUUGCAGUCUGCAACUCGACUGCAUGAAGCCGGAGUUGCUAGUAACCGCAGGUCAGCAAUACUGCGGUGAAUACGUUCCCGGGUCUU
This 459-nucleotide ribosomal RNA is filed under the name uncultured Anaerolineaceae bacterium. RNAcentral describes it as "bacterial SSU rRNA". It matches the Rfam family "Bacterial small subunit ribosomal RNA", at positions 910 to 1382 of the family's 1533-position model. The record is from RNAcentral. Lineage: Bacteria; Bacillati; Chloroflexota; Anaerolineae; Anaerolineales; Anaerolineaceae.